GUGGGGAAUCUUGCGCAAUGGGCGAAAGCCUGACGCAGCCAUGCCGCGUGAAUGAUGAAGGUCUUAGGAUUGUAAAAUUCUUUCACCGGGGACGAUAAUGACGGUACCCGGAGAAGAAGCUCCGGCUAACUUCGUGCCAGCAGCCGCGGUAAUACGAAGGGGGCUAGCGUUGCUCGGAAUUACUGGGCGUAAAGGGCGCGUAGGCGGACAGCUUAGUCAGAGGUGAAAGCCCAGGGCUCAACCUUGGAAUUGCCUUUGAUACUGGCUGUCUUGAGUUUGGGAGAGGUGAGUGGAACUCCGAGUGUAGAGGUGAAAUUCGUAGAUAUUCGGAAGAACACCAGUGGCGAAGGCGACUCACUGGCCCAAUACUGACGCUGAGGCGCGAAAGCGUGGGGAGCAAACAGGAUUAGAUACCCCAUAGUCC
This 424-nucleotide ribosomal RNA is filed under the name uncultured bacterium. RNAcentral's name for it is "bacterial SSU rRNA". It matches the Rfam family "Bacterial small subunit ribosomal RNA", at positions 354 to 796 of the family's 1533-position model. The record is from RNAcentral.